Molecule: long non-coding RNA, 313 nt
Filed under: Callithrix jacchus (white-tufted-ear marmoset)
Lineage: Eukaryota; Metazoa; Chordata; Mammalia; Primates; Cebidae
Description: lncRNA (ENSCJAG00000061350.2)
Source: RNAcentral
UCAUCUUUAAUUAGGUAUUUUCUCCAUGAGACUGUACACUUUUUGCUUGUUCAAUUAAAAUUUUUACAGGAAAAUAUUAACUGAAAUUCUUCCAUUGCCUCCUCUUCCAGGCAGGCAGCACGUGAGUGAAGUGAGAGGGAGUGGAAGAGAACAAUGAUGGGAAUGGAAGAAUGAAGAAGAGCCAGGUCUCCAUGGAGAGGAGGAAUACAAGACGAUCCUGAGGUAUCUCAUGCUGAAAAGUAAGAACAUUCUUAAAGAAUGAGAAAGCAUAUCAAAAGGACAAAAAGGCAGCUUGAAGGAGCUCCCACAUGUC